RNAcentral lists this ribosomal RNA (533 nucleotides) under uncultured fungus. RNAcentral's name for it is "eukaryotic LSU rRNA". The stretch from base 190 to 343 matches the Rfam family "5.8S ribosomal RNA". The record is from RNAcentral. Lineage: Eukaryota; Fungi.
AAGUCGUAACAAGGUUUCCGUAGGUGAGCCUGCGGAAGGAUCAUUACCUAGAGUUUGUAGACUUCGGUCUGCUACCUCUUACCCAUGUCUUUUGAGUACCUUCGUUUCCUCGGCGGGUCCGCCCGCCGAUUGGACAACAUUCAAACCCUUUGCAGUUGCAAUCAGCGUCUGAAAAAACAUAAUAGUUACAACUUUCAACAACGGAUCUCUUGGUUCUGGCAUCGAUGAAGAACGCAGCGAAAUGCGAUAAGUAGUGUGAAUUGCAGAAUUCAGUGAAUCAUCGAAUCUUUGAACGCACAUUGCGCCCCUUGGUAUUCCAUGGGGCAUGCCUGCUCGAGCGUCAUUUGUACCUUCAAGCUCUGCUUGGUGUUGGGUGUUUGUCUCGCCUCUGCGUGUAGACUCGCCUUAAAACAAUUGGCAGCCGGCGUAUUGAUUUCGGAGCGCAGUACAUCUCGCGCUUUGCACUCAUAACGACGACGUCCAAAAGUACAUUUUUACACUCUUGACCUCGGAUCAGGUAGGGAUACCUGCUG